GACGAACGCUGGCGGCGUGCUUAACACAUGCAAGUCGAACGGAAAGGCCCUGCUUUUGUGGGGUGCUCGAGUGGCGAACGGGUGAGUAACACGUGAGUAACCUGCCCUUGACUUUGGGAUAACUUCAGGAAACUGGGGCUAAUACCGGAUAGGAGCUCCUGCUGCAUGGUGGGGGUUGGAAAGUUUCGGCGGUUGGGGAUGGACUCGCGGCUUAUCAGCUUGUUGGUGGGGUAGUGGCUUACCAAGGCUUUGACGGGUAGCCGGCCUGAGAGGUUGACCGGCCACAUUGGGACUGAGGUACGGCCCAGACUCCUACGGGAGGCAGCAGUGGGGAAUAUUGCACAGUGGGCGGGAGCGUGAUGCAGCAGCGCCGCGUGCGGGAUGACGGCCCUCGGGUUGUGAACCGCUUUCGCCUGUGACGAAGCGUGAGUGACGGUAAUGGGUAAAGAAGCACCGGCUAACUACGUG
This 468-nucleotide ribosomal RNA is filed under the name uncultured bacterium. RNAcentral's name for it is "partial 16S ribosomal RNA". It matches the Rfam family "Bacterial small subunit ribosomal RNA", at positions 28 to 507 of the family's 1533-position model. The record is from RNAcentral.